UCCGGCUUAUCACCGGCAGUCCCUCUAGAGUGCCCAACUAAAUGGUGGCAACUAAUUACGAGGGUUGCGCUCGUUGCGGGACUUAACCCAACACCUCCACGGCAGCCCCGAAGGGAAGCUCCAUCUCUGGAGCAGUCCACCGCAGUUCAAACCCAGGUAAGGUUCUUCGCGUUGCGUCGAAUUAAACCACAUGCUCCACCGCUUGUGCGGGUCCCCGUCAAUUCCUUUGAGUUUUAAUCUUGCGACCGUACUCCCCAGGCGGUCGACUUCACGCGUUAGCUGCGUUACCGAAGGAGUUACCCUCCGACAACUAGUCGACAUCGUUUAGGGCGUGGACUAC
Molecule: unclassified non-coding RNA, 340 nt
Filed under: uncultured bacterium
Lineage: Bacteria
Description: contains 16S-23S intergenic spacer region
Source: RNAcentral